Molecule: ribosomal RNA, 464 nt
Filed under: uncultured bacterium
Lineage: Bacteria
Description: partial 16S ribosomal RNA
Rfam family: Bacterial small subunit ribosomal RNA
Source: RNAcentral
ACGAACGCUGGCGGCGUGCUUAACACCUGCAAGUCGAACGGAAAGGCCCUGCUUGCAGGGUACUCGAGUGGCGAACGGGUGAGUAACACGUGGGUGAUCUGCCCUGCACUUCGGGAUAAGCCUGGGAAACUGGGUCUAAUACCGGAUAGGAGCCAUUUUUCGUGUGAUGGUUGGAAAGUUUUUUCGGUGUAGGAUGAGCUCGCGGCCUAUCAGCUUGUUGGUGGGGUAAUGGCCUACCAAGGCGGCGACGGGUAGCCGGCCUGGGAGGGUGGACGGCCACAUUGGGACUGAGAUACGGCCCAGACUCCUACGGGAGGCAGCAGUGGGGAAUAUUGCACAAUGGGCGCAAGCCUGAUGCAGCGACGCCGCGUGGGGGAUGACGGCCUUCGGGUUGUAAACUCCUUUCGCUAGGGACGAAGCUUUUUGUGACGGUACCUAGAUAAGAAGCACCGGCUAACUACGUG